Molecule: non-coding RNA, 21 nt
Filed under: Caenorhabditis elegans
Lineage: Eukaryota; Metazoa; Nematoda; Chromadorea; Rhabditida; Rhabditidae
Source: RNAcentral
UGAAUUUUUGAAUGACUUUUU